AGCGGUGUAGCUCAACGUUAGAGCAUACGCGAGAUUGCGCGUCAGACGAAGGUUCAACUCCUUUCACUGCUA
Molecule: transfer RNA, 72 nt
Filed under: Acidobacteriota bacterium
Lineage: Bacteria; Pseudomonadati; Acidobacteriota
Description: Acidobacteria bacterium (soil metagenome) tRNA-Ser
Rfam family: tRNA
About the family: Transfer RNA (tRNA) molecules are approximately 80 nucleotides in length. Their secondary structure includes four short double-helical elements and three loops (D, anti-codon, and T loops). Further hydrogen bonds mediate the characteristic L-shaped molecular structure. tRNAs have two regions of fundamental functional importance: the anti-codon, which is responsible for specific mRNA codon recognition, and the 3' end, to which the tRNAs corresponding amino acid is attached (by aminoacyl-tRNA synthetases). tRNAs cope with the degeneracy of the genetic code in two manners: having more than one tRNA (with a specific anti-codon) for a particular amino acid; and 'wobble' base-pairing, i.e. permitting non-standard base-pairing at the 3rd anti-codon position.
Source: RNAcentral